CCUACGGGAGGCAGCAGUGAGGAAUAUUUGUCAAUGGGCGCUAGCCUGAACCAGCCAAGUAGCGUGAAGGAUGACUGCCCUAUGGGUUGUAAACUUCUUUUAUAUGGGAAUAAAGUGCAGUAUGUAUACUGCUUUGCAUGUACCUUAUGACUAAGGGUCGGCUAACUCCGUGCCAGCAGCCGCGGUAAUACGGAGGAUCCGAGCGUUAUCCGGAUUUAUUGGGUUUAAAGGGAGCGUAGGCGGGUUGUUAAGUCAGUUGUGAAAGUUUGCGGCUCAACCGGAAAAUUGCAGUUGAUACUGGCAGCCUUGAGUACAGUAGAGGUAGGCGGAAUUCGUGGUGUAGCGGUGAAAUGCUUAGAUAUCACGAAGAACUCCGAUUGCGAAGGCAGCCUGCUGGACUGUAACUGACGCUGAUGCUCGAAAGUGUGGGUAUCAAACAGGAUUAGAUACCCCUGUAGUC
RNAcentral lists this ribosomal RNA (460 nucleotides) under uncultured bacterium. RNAcentral's name for it is "partial 16S ribosomal RNA". It matches the Rfam family "Bacterial small subunit ribosomal RNA", at positions 338 to 795 of the family's 1533-position model. The record is from RNAcentral.